This is a small nucleolar RNA of Dendrobium catenatum, 99 nucleotides long. RefSeq annotates it as small nucleolar RNA snoR31/Z110/Z27. The record is from RefSeq and is a predicted model, not a curated record. The transcript has a single exon. NCBI's taxonomy places the organism in Eukaryota, Viridiplantae, Streptophyta, Magnoliopsida, Asparagales, Orchidaceae.
UCUUUCAUUUGAUGAAAGCUUAGAAUUAAUCUUAGUACACCUUCCUACACAUCUCAACUAGAGUUGUGGAUGAGAAUUCUUUUUAAUUCUGAUGAUAGU